This 550-nucleotide ribosomal RNA is filed under the name uncultured bacterium. RNAcentral's name for it is "partial 16S ribosomal RNA". It matches the Rfam family "Bacterial small subunit ribosomal RNA", at positions 355 to 895 of the family's 1533-position model. The record is from RNAcentral.
UGGGGAAUAUUGCACAAUGGGCGCAAGCCUGAUGCAGCCAUGCCGCGUGUGUGAAGAAGGCCUUCGGGUUGUAAAGCACUUUCAGCGAGGAGGAAGGUGGUGAGCUUAAUACGCUCAUCAAUUGACGUUACUCGCAGAAGAAGCACCGGCUAACUCCGUGCCAGCAGCCGCGGUAAUACGGAGGGUGCAAGCGUUAAUCGGAAUUACUGGGCGUAAAGCGCACGCAGGCGGUUUGUUAAGUCAGAUGUGAAAUCCCCGGGCUCAACCUGGGAACUGCAUUUGAAACUGGCAAGCUAGAGUCUCGUAGAGGGGGGUAGAAUUCCAGGUGUAGCGGUGAAAUGCGUAGAGAUCUGGAGGAAUACCGGUGGCGAAGGCGGCCCCCUGGACGAAGACUGACGCUCAGGUGCGAAAGCGUGGGGAGCAAAACAGGAUUAGAUACCCUGGUAGUCCACGCUGUAAACGAUGUCGAUUUUGGAGGUUGUGCCCUUGAGGCGUGGCUUCCGGAGCUAACGCGUUAAAUCGACCGCCUGGGGAGUACGGCCGCAAGGUU